This 144-nucleotide unclassified non-coding RNA is filed under the name uncultured Ascomycota. RNAcentral describes it as "sequence contains ITS1". The record is from RNAcentral. Lineage: Eukaryota; Fungi; Ascomycota.
CCGAGAGAGGGCGCCUCGCGCGCCCGACCUCCCAACCCUUUGUUUGACCAUCUCUGUUGCCUCGGGGGACGACCCGGUCGCCCCCGGCGGACCAACCAACCAAACUCUGCAUCCAUGCGUCGGAGUACGAAAGCAAAUCAAUCA